CUCACAAAUUCGUCAGCCACUCUUCUCUCUAUCACUCUCUCUCUUCCCCCUCACCAUUUCUGUGAAAGGCUAGAAGAACCACCCUACACCACCAUCUAAAACCAUCAUCAAACCCUCCAACCCCUUCCUUAUAACCCCCUUAACCACCACCAUCUUCCUCGGCCUUCAUUUUGGCCGGAAACACAAGAAGCAACCGGCAGCAGAAGGCUGCCGGCCACACCCCCCUCCACUGCACCACCCCACUACCACCUUCAAAAACCCACUGCCAUCACCUAAAAAUUUCACCCCUAAGUUGAUUUCGAUCCCCAAAAGCUUCUAAAUACUCCCUGCAUCGAAGUACAACUGGAAGGAGGAAGAAACGAAGGCAGCAACAUCUAAACCACCACCUCCGUCGGCCUCCGGUUGCAGUCUCAAAACCACCGGUCACCACCCUUAUGCUGCUGCUGCUCCGCCCCUGCGUAAACAGUUAUAUUUAGUUGUUUUAGUGAUCCGAUAGUUCAUCAUCAGACGUAUCAGAGUAUCUUUCAUGAUCAUUCGAUUUAACCGGUGAUGCAAAUGACAGUGGUUCAUCAUUUUCAUCGUCUUCAGCAUCAGUAGGUUGAAUCUCAGCAUGUUUCCUUUUCAGCUUCAUACCAGCUGAAUCCAUAGGCUCAAUGUUGAUUGCCCCAUUUAGUUUCAAAGCAUGGUUUGCAUUCCCGUUAUCAUCUGAAUUGAAUGUGAAAUUAUUACCAUCAACUGCAGACACAUGUAAGGUAAACAUGGUCACUAUAUAUAAAUACACACAUAUAUAUACCAAAUAAAAUCUGUAAAAGUGGUAAUCAUAAUACACUUACAACUAGCCAUUGAAUGUCUUUACUAGUUAAUUCUUUCUUUUUUUCGUAAAAUUUUCAGAAACCGAGACAAUAGCCAUGGUGUCAUCAUUGUUGUUGUCGUUGGAGGAUUUAUUUGCAUCUAUGUUUAAUGUUUGACCGCAUCACUGAAAACAAAUCACAAAGUCAUAAACAAAAUGAUAAACUAUUUAAUCAAAAGAAAUAUAAAAAGUACUCUCACUUACAUUAAUUGAUUGUGUUUCAGUUUUUUCAGAUUCUCCCACAGUCAAAAGCAAAGUGAUGAGGUUUCCACAUACUUCACACACGAAAUCAUGAUUCAAAUUCUUCACAGAAAGAUCAUGUCCUAGCUUGGGUUUCCACCGUCAAACCAACUUAAGUAUGAGUUGAUUCGACAGUGCAAACCCAAGUUAGGAUAUGAUCUUUCCGUGAAAAAUUUUAAUCUUGAUUUUGUGUGUGAAGUAUGGGAAAACUUCAUCAUUUUGCUUGUGACUUGGGAAGAAUCUGAAAAAGAUUAAACACAAUCAAUUAAUGUAAGUAAGAGUGUUUUUUAUUUCUUUUGAUUAAAUAGUUUAUCAUUUUGUUUAUGACUUUGUGAUUUGUUUUCAGUGAUGCGGUCAAACAUUAAAAAUAGAUGCAAACAGAUCCUCCAACGAUGAUGACACCAUGUCUAUUGUCUUAGUUUCUGGAAAUUUUACGAUAAAAAAGAAAGAGUUAACCAACAAAGACACUUAGUGGCUAGCUGUAACUGUAUUAUGAUUACCACUUGUGCAAAUUUUAUUUGGUAUAUAUAUAUAUAUACAUAUAUAUAUAUAUAUAUAUAUAUAUAUAUAUAUAUAUAUAUAUAUAUAUAUAUAUAUAUAGUGCCCAUGUUUACUUUGCAUGUGUCUGCAGUUGAUGGUAAUAGUUUCACAUUCAAUUCUGAUAAUAACCAGAAUAGAAACCGUGCUUUGAAACUAAGGGGGGCGAUCAACAUCGAGCCUAUGGAUUCAACUGAUAUAAAGUUGAAAAACAAACAUGCUGAUAUCUAGUCUUCAGAUGCUGAAGAUGAUGAGCCAUUGCCAUUAGCAUCAUCGGUUAAAUCGAAUGAUCAUGAUAGGUACUCUGACAAGUCUAAUGAUAAGGUGUCGGAUGACUAUACAAUUAAAUAUAAUCAGAACGAGGCAGAUAACUACAAGAUUGGAGAGGAAGAAUAUGACCUUAAUAACGAGCAUAUAUGCAUAAGAUCCUUUGGGUUAUCAAACCUUUAAAUCAAAUGUUAAGUAUAAAGGAGGCCGCAGCAGCAAGGGUCUCAAGAAAAAAAGAAAGCAAUUGACAUAGAGGAGGAGGCAAUUGGUGUGUAGAUAAUUGGAAGCAUGCAACUGGUGUUUAGAUUGUCUAUAUAGUAUGUUUAUAGUACUUUUAUAAUAUGUAGUGCACAGAUUAUGUUAGAUUGUCUAUAUAGUAUGUUUAUAGUACUUUUAUAAUAUGUAGUGCACAUAUUAUGUCACAUGAAGUCAUGUCUAGAUAUUCAGGGUAUCUAGAUUGUCUAUAUAGUUUGUUUGGCCAGGUACUCUUAUACUAAGGUCAUAUAUUUUAAGUCACUAGAAAUUGUGUGUUUAUCAUAUAUAUAUUACAGUGUUACACAUGCAUAAACAAUUCCAAGUAAAUACUAAUUCUACCUUUUGACAGUU
Molecule: long non-coding RNA, 2500 nt
Organism: Lactuca sativa (garden lettuce)
Lineage: Eukaryota; Viridiplantae; Streptophyta; Magnoliopsida; Asterales; Asteraceae
Source: RefSeq, a predicted model, not a curated record